GCGAUCGAUUUGAUCGUGAUUUGGUCGAGAAUAUUGAUGAUUAGAGACUCUCAAUCAAGAAGGUUAAAGCUUUUGUAUCGUCUGGAGGAUCAUCUUCUUGGCACAUAUCAAAAUGUCUCAAAGUGAAAAAGCAUCCAAUAGAGUUGGAACUCCAAGCUGCAGUCAACCAAUUUCCCAACAGCCAGAACAAGAAGAUCAAAGUGUUGCUUCAACAAUUGCUUCAACAACACCUUCUUCGAGUAAUAAGAGAUCAUUAGCAGAAGUAGCAGAUGAAAAUCAUCCACUUGUUAUUGCUUUAUUGAA
Papaver somniferum (opium poppy) is the source of this 303-nucleotide long non-coding RNA. RefSeq lists it as uncharacterized. Lineage: Eukaryota; Viridiplantae; Streptophyta; Magnoliopsida; Ranunculales; Papaveraceae. The transcript has 3 exons. The record is from RefSeq and is a predicted model, not a curated record.